This is a long non-coding RNA of Oncorhynchus tshawytscha (Chinook salmon), 619 nucleotides long. The record is from Ensembl. NCBI's taxonomy places the organism in Eukaryota, Metazoa, Chordata, Actinopteri, Salmoniformes, Salmonidae.
GUAAGUAACCCCUUUAUUUAGCAGUAACCCACAGUAGACCACGGCCUUGAGGAGAUGAUGAGGAGGAGGAGGAUGAUGAUGAUGUUGGGUAUCUCAUACUGUUGCCCAGGAAAAGGAUGGGCUCUUUGGAAACAAGCAAACUGUACGUGUCUUAUUUUCUGUCAAAGAUGACAUUGGAGCGCCUUUCCAAUCCACUCCUUUCCAAGAUGCGUUCCUUUCUAGUCAAUUCUCAGUUGAUCUGGCCUCCAGAACGCAUGUAGCCAAGACCACCUGAGAGCCUAUCUAUCAAGAUAAUAUCCAAGAAGCUGGCUGCGGAUGACACUGAACUUGGCCUAAAGCGAGCUCUGCUGGUGGCUCCGGGAGGAUGCAGAUUUAUCUUUCUGCUAUGGCUGACCUCGCGGUGAACCGCGCGCUGGGGACGGUUCUUUUUUUCUGCCUGGCAUUGUCUGCCUUGCUGUGCAACGCAUAAGGGACCCCAAUUUGGACAUUUUAAUUGUGUAACAAUGGUGUAAAUUUCUCCCCAGACGUCACAAUGAUAAUGGCAUAGAAUAAUGGUUUUACUUAUAUUUUCUACACCACAAACUGUAAUGGAAAUAAAGUUACAUUUCGUUGCAUUGGC